RNAcentral lists this ribosomal RNA (482 nucleotides) under uncultured bacterium. RNAcentral describes it as "bacterial SSU rRNA". It matches the Rfam family "Bacterial small subunit ribosomal RNA", at positions 30 to 507 of the family's 1533-position model. The record is from RNAcentral.
AUUGAACGCUGGCGGCAUGCCUUACACAUGCAAGUCGAACGGUAACAGGUCUUCGGAUGCUGACGAGUGGCGAACGGGUGAGUAAUAUAUCGGAACGUGCCCAGUCGUGGGGGAUAACGCAGCGAAAGCUGUGCUAAUACCGCAUACGAUCUAUGGAUGAAAGCGGGGGAUCGCAAGACCUCGCGCGAUUGGAGCGGCCGAUAUCAGAUUAGGUAGUUGGUGGGGUAAAGGCCCACCAAGCCAACGAUCUGUAGCUGGUCUGAGAGGACGACCAGCCACACUGGAACUGAGACACGGUCCAGACUCCUACGGGAGGCAGCAGUGGGGAAUUUUGGACAAUGGGCGCAAGCCUGAUCCAGCAAUGCCGCGUGCAGGAUGAAGGCCUUCGGGUUGUAAACUGCUUUUGUACGGAACGAAAAGGCUCUGGUUAAUACCUGGGGCUCGUGACGGUACCGUAAGAAUAAGCACCGGCUAACUACGUG